RNAcentral lists this ribosomal RNA (255 nucleotides) under uncultured bacterium. Its description in RNAcentral is "partial 16S ribosomal RNA". It matches the Rfam family "Bacterial small subunit ribosomal RNA", at positions 524 to 776 of the family's 1533-position model. The record is from RNAcentral.
GACGUAGGGCGCGAGCGUUGUCCGGAUUUAUUGGGCGUAAAGAGCUCGUAGGCGGCUUGUCGCGUCGAAUGUGAAAAUCUCAGGGCUCAACUCUGACAUUGCAUUCGAUACGGGCAGGCUCGAGUUCGGUAGGGGAGACUGGAAUUCCUGGUGUAGCGGUGAAAAUGCGCAGAUAUCAGGAGGAACACCGGUGGCGAAGGCGGGUCUCUGGGCCGAUACUGACGCUGAGGAGCGAAAGCGUGGGGAGCGAACAGG